RNAcentral lists this ribosomal RNA (247 nucleotides) under uncultured Lactobacillus sp. RNAcentral's name for it is "partial 16S ribosomal RNA". It matches the Rfam family "Bacterial small subunit ribosomal RNA", at positions 116 to 354 of the family's 1533-position model. The record is from RNAcentral. Lineage: Bacteria; Bacillati; Bacillota; Bacilli; Lactobacillales; Lactobacillaceae.
CGUGGGUAACCUGCCCAAGAGAUCGGGAUAACACCUGGAAAACAGAUGCUAAUACCGGAUAACAACAGAUGAUGCCUAUCAACUGUUUAAAAGAUGGUUCUGCUAUCACUCUUGGAUGGACCUGCGGUGCAUUAGCUAGUUGGUAGGGUAACGGCCUACCAAGGCGAUGAUGCAUAGCCGAGUUGAGAGACUGAUCGGCCACAUUGGGACUGAGACACGGCCCAAACUCCUACGGGAGGCAGCAGGG